This 305-nucleotide ribosomal RNA is filed under the name uncultured bacterium. RNAcentral describes it as "partial 16S ribosomal RNA". It matches the Rfam family "Bacterial small subunit ribosomal RNA", at positions 508 to 807 of the family's 1533-position model. The record is from RNAcentral.
ACAGCAGUCGCCGCGGUAAUACGUAGGUGGCAAGCGUUGUCCGGAAUUAUUGGGCGUAAAGGGCUCGCAGGCGGUUUCUUAAGCCUGAUGUGAAAGCCCCCGGCUCAACCGGGGAGGGUCAUUGGAAACUGGGAAACUUGAGUGCAGAAGAGGAGAGUGGAAUUCCACGUGUAGCGGUGAAAUGCGUAGAGAUGUGGAGGAAUACCAGUGGCGAAGGCGACUUUCUGGACUGCAACUGACGCUGAGGUGCGAAAGCGUGGGGAGCAGACAGGAUUAGAUACCCCAGUAGUCCCUGUCUCUUAUAC